Phrynosoma platyrhinos (Desert horned lizard) is the source of this 69-nucleotide non-coding RNA. Lineage: Eukaryota; Metazoa; Chordata; Lepidosauria; Squamata; Phrynosomatidae. The record is from the annotation of a GenBank genome assembly.
GCCAUGGUGGUGUAGUUUGAGUGUUGGACUCCAACUCUGGAAACCAGGGUUCAAUUCCCAGCUCUGCCA